UGAGUGGGUUGGACGGUCGCCGGAUUGCAAGACAUCCGGAGGAAAGUCCGAGCAGGGCAGGGCGCGGCGGUGGCUAACGGCCACCCGGGGCAACCCGCGGGAAAGUGCCACAGAGAAUAGUCCGCCGAUGGCCUUUCGGGGCACAGGUAAGGGUGAAACGGUGCGGUAAGAGCGCACCGCGUUGCUGGCGACAGUGACGGCACGGUAAACCCCGCCGCCUGCAAGACCAAAUAUGCUGUGUGUUUGGCCCGGAUAUCCACAGCGGGUAGGUUGCUUGCUGACGGAGAGAUCUGUCGGCAGAGCCGGCUGGCAACAGCUGGUCGAGUGUAAUGACCGUCAUCCCUAACCGGAUACAGAACUCGGCUUACAGACCCACUCAUUUU
Molecule: RNase P RNA, 383 nt
Filed under: Planctomycetota bacterium
Lineage: Bacteria; Pseudomonadati; Planctomycetota
Description: Planctomycetes bacterium (marine metagenome) RNase P RNA component class A
Rfam family: Bacterial RNase P class A
About the family: Ribonuclease P (RNase P) is a ubiquitous endoribonuclease, found in archaea, bacteria and eukarya as well as chloroplasts and mitochondria. Its best characterised activity is the generation of mature 5'-ends of tRNAs by cleaving the 5'-leader elements of precursor-tRNAs.
Source: RNAcentral